CAGCAGCCACGGUAAUACGUAGGUGGCAAGCGUUGUCCGGAAUUAUUGGGCGUAAAGCGCGCGCAGGUGGUUUAAUAAGUCUGAUGUGAAAGCCCACGGCUCAACCGUGGAGGGUCAUUGGAAACUGUUAAACUUGAGUGCAGGAGAGAAAAGUGGAAUUCCUAGUGUAGCGGUGAAAUGCGUAGAGAUUAGGAGGAACACCAGGGGCGAAGGCGGCUUUUUGGCCUGUAACUGACACUGAGGCGCGAAAGCGUGGGGAGCAAACAGGAUUAGAUACCCCUGUAGUCCCUGUCUCUUAUAC
RNAcentral lists this ribosomal RNA (301 nucleotides) under uncultured bacterium. RNAcentral describes it as "partial 16S ribosomal RNA". It matches the Rfam family "Bacterial small subunit ribosomal RNA", at positions 509 to 807 of the family's 1533-position model. The record is from RNAcentral.